Molecule: unclassified non-coding RNA, 315 nt
Filed under: plant metagenome
Description: partial contains 5.8S ribosomal RNA, internal transcribed spacer 2, and large subunit ribosomal RNA
Rfam family: 5.8S ribosomal RNA (bases 1-105)
Source: RNAcentral
GAACUGCGAUAAGUAAUGUGAAUUGCAGAAUUCAGUGAAUCAUCGAGUCUUUGAACGCACAUUGCGCCCCCUGGCAUUCCGGGGGGCAUGCCUGUCCGAGCGUCAUUGCUGCCCUUCAAGCCCGGCUUGUGUGUUGGGUCGUCGUCCCCUCCGGGGGACGGGCCCGAAAGGCAGCGGCGGCACCGCGUCCGGUCCUCGAGCGUAUGGGGCUUUGUCACCCGCUCGAUAAGGACCGGCCGGGCGCCAGCCGGCGUCUCCAACCUUUUUUUCUCAGGUUGACCUCGGAUCAGGUAGGGAUACGCGCUGAACUUAAGC